This 223-nucleotide ribosomal RNA is filed under the name Centella asiatica (Asiatic pennywort). RNAcentral's name for it is "partial 28S ribosomal RNA". The record is from RNAcentral. Lineage: Eukaryota; Viridiplantae; Streptophyta; Magnoliopsida; Apiales; Apiaceae.
GCGGGACUACCCGCUGAGUUUAAGCAUAUCAAUAAGCGGAGAAUAUUUGUCGAUACCUGGCCGCCCAAAGACCCGCCAACACUUAAACCACCGGGGGGCGAGGCGGCUCCCGGGGGGCGUCAGCCCUCCGCGCGAACCAUUGAAGGGGGGGUCCUCCCUCUGUGGGUCCGUCGGCUUACAACAGGGUCGGGGAAAGCCAAGGAAAUUAUAAAAAAAAAAAAUA